RNAcentral lists this ribosomal RNA (453 nucleotides) under uncultured Thiobacillus sp. RNAcentral's name for it is "bacterial SSU rRNA". It matches the Rfam family "Bacterial small subunit ribosomal RNA", at positions 920 to 1382 of the family's 1533-position model. Lineage: Bacteria; Pseudomonadati; Pseudomonadota; Betaproteobacteria; Nitrosomonadales; Thiobacillaceae. The record is from RNAcentral.
ACCGCACAAGCGGUGAUGAUGUGGAUUAAUUCGAUGCAACGCGAAAACCUUACCUACCUUGACAUGUCCAGAACCUGCAGAGAUGCGGGGGUGCCCGAAAGGGAAUUGGAACACAGGUGCUGCAUGGCUGUCGUCAGCUCGUGUCGUGAGAUGUUGGGUUAAGUCCCGCAACGAGCGCAACCCUUAUCAUUAGUUGCUACGCAAGGGCACUCUAAUGAGACUGCCGGUGACAAACCGGAGGAAGUGGGGAUGACGUCAAGUCCUCAUGGCCCUUAUGGGUAGGGCUUCACACGUCAUACAAUGGUCGGUACAGAGGGUUGCCAAGCCGCGAGGUGGAGCCAAUCCCAGAAAGCCGAUCGUAGUCCGGAUUGUUCUCUGCAACUCGAGAGCAUGAAGUCGGAAUCGCUAGUAAUCGCGGAUCAGCAUGUCGCGGUGAAUACGUUCCCGGGUCUU